GUACAACUUAGAGGAAGCAGACAAAUGGGAGCCACACCUCUGGUCCCAAAGGAUAACGGACAGGAGGAGAGACUGGCCAGAGAAGGAAAAGGGAAUGUGAGACCUUGACCCUGAUGUCUUUGGGAAGUUGAGGGAAAUGCUCCUGCCUAAUUCCAGCUGGACUCACCUCUCAGUCGUUCUUGCUAUCAGUCAUUCUUCAUUUGAACCAUCUUCUCUUGGACCAGCCUGCUUCCUGCAAAGAUGGAACUAAUAGAAGUCACAGUGAUGGACUCUAGUGAAAAAUGAAAACCAG
Molecule: long non-coding RNA, 292 nt
Filed under: Sus scrofa (pig)
Lineage: Eukaryota; Metazoa; Chordata; Mammalia; Artiodactyla; Suidae
Description: lncRNA (ENSSSCG00005020872.1, ENSSSCG00035076794.1)
Source: RNAcentral